RNA transcript from Cryptotermes secundus, 1928 nucleotides. RefSeq lists it as uncharacterized. The record is from RefSeq and is a predicted model, not a curated record. The transcript is spliced from 8 exons. NCBI's taxonomy places the organism in Eukaryota, Metazoa, Arthropoda, Insecta, Blattodea, Kalotermitidae.
UAUUUCAUGCUUCGGCUCUCAAUAUUAAAGUUGUAACUGUGGCCACUGUGGCAGUGAUGGCAGUAUCCCUAAACCACCUAAACGUAUCGUACCCAUGUGUGUAAAUUAGAUCAACUAGAUCUAUCGGAUAAUCCAAAAUAAACAGCGUAUAGAGACGUCAACUGCGGUUUGUGAGUAUGGAGGAAAGUAGUAGUGACGAAGGAAAAGUGUAUUCUUACUACAGUUUUAUGCCAAAAAAUGGUACAGAGGAUAAUAGUUUAAAACCAGACCUAGGUCUUGGCAAUACACAGACAGCCGAGAAAAAAGGUAUUGUUGAGAAUUACGGCUCAGGGAAUGAUAUGCCAAAGAGAGAGGAAAAUCCAUUUUCAUUUAAACAUUUUCUCAAGCGUGAUGCAGGAAACAAUUACAGCAGUACUGGUGCAAGACGAAAAGUGCAUUCUGAUGUACUCGCUUGUGGACACUUAUCACCAGCGUCAUCUGAUUCAGAUCCUGGAUGGCUUAGGACGAGUGUAUUGCGUGGCCGUCGCCAAGGUGGAACCCCUGAAUUGACGUCGGCACUUCCAGAUUUUGUUCAGGAUCAUCUUGUAGUAGAACAGUGUUAUCUGAACCAUUCUGAGAGCUCAAACACAUCUCAAAUUGCAGUGGAUAUUCCAGUUGAUUUGGCAGGCACCGCAGGAAAUCAGAACUUACCAAAAAAUGUUGGGAAUGGCUCAGGACCUGUACCCCUAGAUUUACCAAGUUCUGACAGAAGUCCCACUGAAAGCAUAGGAAAGUUGACAACUCAUGGUGGUGGUUUGCCAUUUGAUCUCCCUCUUGUUAGUGAUGCUAAAGAUGGGGCUGUGAGUGCGUCCUCAUCUGGAGUCAGGAGUGGUAUGCAGAUUGGUGAAGUGGGAGUGUCAAAGAGUCUGCCUGACUUUCUUUCUGAUGGACCUAUUCAUAGUGGUCAUCAUAAUGACGUGGAUCAACCCAUUGAUGACUCUUUGGGUGCAGGUACGAGCGACACCAUAUCAGGAUCACAGUCCCCAGACUCACACAGGUUACAGUUGGAAAAUGAGACCUUGAGAAGAAAAUUAGAAGUAUUAAGGCGGCAACGUGCAAACCAAGCAAGAAGAAUCCAGUACUUGGAGCGUGACAUUUUCACCAUUCGCGCGAAGGAACACAAGGAAACGGCAAAACUUGAAAAGGCAAUCGAAUUGGUGGAAGACAACUUGAAAAGAACUACUAGAAGAGCUGUAAAUGCAGAACAUUCUGUUUCCAAGUUGAAGCAGGAACUGAAGAUUGUGUCGAACGAAUUGACGGUUCUACGUCAGGAGAAUCGAGAAUUGCAGUGUGGUCGAUCAGGUGCCGGUGCUUCAGUUGAACCAGAGAGUGAGUUGCAGAUGCAGCAACUUGCGCACGAACUGAGGGUGGCAGCUAGCACAGCAGAACAGUCGCUGAGACAACUUUUGAAUGGUGUUGGCAACCUUCGUGUUAUUGCCUCAACACUGGAGAAUUCACAUCGGAUUCAGGAUCGGACUGGUGACUUUCUGGGAGAUUUGGAUGAUGAAGAUGAUGAUGCUGGCCCAGCACUGUGAAGGAAUCACAUUUAAUUUGGAACCAUUGUUCCGAGCCUCAUCCUGUUGUGUGAUGUGUUCUUCAAGGUUGUAUGUUACAUGAAUUUUGUAUGAAUGAAAUCUCAAGUCUCCUCAGAAAGGAUCUGCUUGACAUUUGUCACAUGACUGUGUGCCACGUUGUCGAGUGUGUCGGACUCAGCUGCAAUACUCUUCUGACUCAUUCAGCAUUCUCUGGUGUGUGAGUGAAUCAGUGUUUUAAAUAAUAUGUUUGUAUCUGGUAUAUUCUUAAGUUAUUUUCUUACCAUAGUAAGAAAAUGGACAUAAACAUCUGAAAUGUGUUUCAACAGGAAAUAAAUUUGGAAUCUUAUAACUGUA